AAGCCUGCAGAAGCGCUACCCGGCCAACGUGGCAGCCCCCUUCCACCCGCAGCCUUACGGGAAAGUGGUGAGGGGGCAGCCCCAGCCCCAGCUGCGGGGGCGUAGGGGGCGGCCAGGGGAGAGUCCAGUCAGGACCCUUUGGCUGUGAGGGGCUUUAUUUAUAGAUCAAACAUCACACCUGCAUCCUGCAUUUUACAUCUUCUCUCACCUUCUCACAACUCCUCAGGGUUAGUACAAUUACCCCAUUUUACAGAUGAGCAGAUAGACUCAGAGGAGUUAAGUGACGUGGCCAAGGCCACGCAGCCUUUGCCCACGGCUGGGUCAUGGCUCCUUGGUUCUUUCUCAGUCUUUGAUUUCUAUUUGUGGUGUGUUUUUGUUCUGGGCCUGUGAGCGCACAGUGGCUGGGGGAGGGCAGGAGGGGGCGUGCUGUUUCUGGCUCCUUCAUCUCAGCACAUCCAAGCUGGUGGGAAGAAAGCGGAGCAGGGCCAGCUGCUGAGGACCCAUCCCUUAGGUUCUGGUCCUGGAAUGUGUGGACCAAGUGCCCUGGUCCCUUUGCUAGAGAAAAGGAGUGGGAGUCAGCCAACUGACGGCAGCAGAGAGUGGGGACCAACCCCCAGUACAAAAUCAGGUAUUUAUGAUCUCAACUGGCUGACAGCCCAAAGGACUCAGAACUUCAGGCAGGUGUGGCCAAGCCUCGCUGUCUGCGUGACCGUCAAGGGGCAGGGGCUACAGGUUUCACUCUUCAUUCAACACGUGCUGUCAAAUGUCGCCAGACACAGUCCUACAGCCUGAGGAUACAGCAGUGACCAAUAACCAUGCCCCCGAGGACAUUCUAGGGGGGAGGGGGCAAAUAAUACAGGAAUAAAUAAGAAACAAACAAGUA
Molecule: long non-coding RNA, 883 nt
Filed under: Equus asinus (donkey)
Lineage: Eukaryota; Metazoa; Chordata; Mammalia; Perissodactyla; Equidae
Description: lncRNA (ENSEASG00005037606.1)
Source: RNAcentral